Molecule: ribosomal RNA, 866 nt
Filed under: uncultured fungus
Lineage: Eukaryota; Fungi
Description: LSU rRNA
Rfam family: Eukaryotic large subunit ribosomal RNA
Source: RNAcentral
GUAACGGCGAGUGAAGCGGCAAUAGCUCAAAUUUGAAAGCUGGCCUUUGGUCCGCAUUGUAAUUUGUAGAGGAUGCUUUUAGGCAGCCGCCGGUCUAAGUUCCUUGGAACAGGACGUCAUAGAGGGUGAGAAUCCCGUAUGUGACCGGCUCAGGCACCUUCUGUAAAGCUCCUUCGACGAGUCGAGUUGUUUGGGAAUGCAGCUCUAAAUGGGAGGUAAAUUUCUUCUAAAGCUAAAUACUGGCGAGAGACCGAUAGCGCACAAGUAGAGUGAUCGAAAGAUGAAAAGUACUUUGGAAAGAGAGUUAAAAAGCACGUGAAAUUGUUGAAAGGGAAGCGCUUGCAAUCAGACUUGGCCUCGGUUGUUCAACCGGUCUUUUGACCGGCCUAUUCAAUCGGGGGCAGGCCAGCAUCAGUUUCGGCGGCCGGAUAAAGGCCUUGGGAAUGUGGCCUCUCCUUCGGGGGAGGUGUUAUAGCCCAGGGUGUAAUACGGUCAGCUGGGACUGAGGUCCGCGCUUCGGCUAGGAUGCUGGCGUAAUGGUUGUAAGCGGCCCGUCUUGAAACACGGACCAAGGAGUCUAACAUCUAUGCGAGUGUUAGGGUGUCAAACCCUUACGCGUAAUGAAAGUGAACGGAGGUGGGAACCCGCAAGGGUGCACCAUCGACCGAUCCUGAUGUCUUCGGAUGGAUUUGAGUAAGAGCAUAGCUGUUGGGACCCGAAAGAUGGUGAACUAUGCCUGAAUAGGGUGAAGCCAGAGGAAACUCUGGUGGAGGCUCGCAGCGGUUCUGACGUGCAAAUCGAUCGUCAAAUUUGGGUAUAGGGGCGAAAGACUAAUCGAACCAUCUAGUAGCUGGUUCCUGCCGAAG